ACGUGCUCGUCUUCACGCAGGUGUUUUUCAAUCAGCUGAUGACCGCUGAUUGCUUCCUCCUCCUCUCCUUAUUUAAGCUUCCUCCAGCCAACAGUUCCGGGAUGUUACUUUGAAGAGAAGCUGCACGAGCCAUGGAACGAAAAAAACAGACGCGAAAAAAGUGUCGCUGCUUAACUACUGAAGCAGUAGUUCCGGGAGAAGGGGAACUUGUGGCGGUAAUGCAACAACCGCCAUAAAACCUCAAAAAAGGAGGAGAGCGAAGAAAAAAAGAAAACUACCGCGGCGUGACGUCAGACGCCGAAACGGCGGCCACGUGCAUCAGCUGCAGCAAGGCCCUCCAGGAUGGCGUGUUCGACCGGGUCCAGAUUGGUGGUCUGUCCAGAAUGGAACAACCUGCUUCCUGCUCACGGAGACCUGGUCGGACCCGCCAUAUACAAAAGCCUGAGGCUGUCAAAAAAAGAUUGAUCUUCAUGAAGCUCGUCAAAUAGUAGGUUUCCUGAUUUAAUUCUGGGUGGCCGCUGUGUCCCCACUCUUUCUUGGCCGCCGUGCCUACACCUCUCUGCAUUGUCCAACAUGGACAGAAAGGACAUGGCCACGUUCUUGCUAUUCUCCAUUCUUCCAUCUGUCAAAUAGCUGAGGGUUGUACAUGGGGCAUUUGCCACAGGUUGGUUUUGUAUGUUCCUGUCCACUUUAUUGGGUGGUCUGAUCUGGUCCUUGUUAGUUAUAUUUUUCUGGAACUGCUGAGCGAGUGAUUUAAAAGAAUGAGGUGACUGAUGGAGUGUUUGAAAUUCUCUCUCUGAAUGAACAGGUUGUGUGUGACUGAGAUACCUGGAUUGAAUAGUUAAGAUGGUCUGAGAAUAUGAUUAUGUUCAGCAGUUCACAUUAAAGUAGAUAUGGUUUCUUGAAAGGCUUAGAUGCUUGAUAAGUUAUAAUGCACUAACAUUUCCUUUUUAGGUCCGUCUACAAAGGGUGAGUCCAUAUUUUUUUAUUCCUCUAUGGAGGCGUUUUCUUGCCUUGCCACCCUUAAAUACUUUUACUUUCCAACUGAUUCUUAAGACGGUAAGUUACACGCAGGCCGCGGGCCAUCGCUCUUCCGGCCGCCGUGUCGAUCUGUCGUGGCUCUCUUGCCUUUCCUUACUUCUACAAGGAAAAACAAAUAUCAACUUCAACCGUUUUCUUCAGCACUAAAAUAUAGUGAUAUUGGAGGACCAGAUCUUAAAUGAGGUUUAAAUGGAUGUUGGUGUACAGUUAAAGCUAGAUGGUAGGAAUAAAAUGAAGGUUGUGCCUUGUACACUCUGUCACAAGGCUUAGACUUCUUGGCCGCUGUGCCUUUUUUUUUUUCCUCUUUUCCAUCGUGGCCAUUAAUCUACCGUUAGCCCUAGAACGUUAAAAUAGAUUACCUGGCUUGGAUGGCAGCCCUGCCAUUGCCUUUAUAUGGCCAUACGUCCCUUAAUGCAAGUAGGCCGUGAUUGCUAACUGUGCCCGCGCCUUCGUGGUCUACUUGUGUUAUUGUAUGUGUGGCCUUGCGCGUAUAGUCAUUUUACAUAGGCAAACAUGGGUGCCUUCCGUGUCCAUGCACAGUAAGUGAACUAACCUGUACUUUUCUUCUAGCAUCAGUCAAGAGGAGCACCGACAUCACUGCAUGUCCACCCUAAUUAGAUUGCGUUUUAGUUUAAACUAACUUUAGUUUCUUGCUUGGCCGCCGUGCCAUUAGGUGUGUGUGUGUGUGUGUGUGUGUGUGUGUGUGU
Molecule: long non-coding RNA, 1748 nt
Organism: Solea solea (common sole)
Lineage: Eukaryota; Metazoa; Chordata; Actinopteri; Pleuronectiformes; Soleidae
Exons: 3
Source: RefSeq, a predicted model, not a curated record